This 934-nucleotide ribosomal RNA is filed under the name uncultured Actinomycetes bacterium. RNAcentral describes it as "bacterial SSU rRNA". It matches the Rfam family "Bacterial small subunit ribosomal RNA", at positions 8 to 954 of the family's 1533-position model. Lineage: Bacteria; Bacillati; Actinomycetota; Actinomycetes. The record is from RNAcentral.
AGAGUUUGAUCAUGGCUCAGGAUGAACGCUGGCGGCGUGCUUAGCACAUGCAAGUCGAACGGAAAGGCUCCUGCUUGCAGGGGUACUCGAGUGGCGAACGGGUGAGUAACACGUGGGUGAUCUGCCCUGCACUUCGGGAUAAGCCUGGGAAACUGGGUCUAAUACCGGAUAGGACCAUCGUUUAGUGUCGGUGGUGGAAAGUUUUUCGGUGUGGGAUGAGCUCGCGGCCUAUCAGCUUGUUGGUGGGGUAAUGGCCUACCAAGGCGUCGACGGGUAACCGGCCUGAGAGGGUGUACGGCCACAUUGGGACUGAGAUACGGCCCAGACUCCUACGGGAGGCAGCAGUGGGGAAUAUUGCACAAUGGGCGCAAGCCUGAUGCAGCGACGCCGCGUGGGGGAUGACGGCCUUCGGGUUGUAAACUCCUUUCGUCAGGGACGAAGCGAGAGUGACGGUACCUGGAUAAGAAGCACCGGCUAACUACGUGCCAGCAGCCGCGGUAAUACGUAGGGUGCGAGCGUUGUCCGGAAUUACUGGGCGUAAAGAGCUCGUAGGUGGUUUGUCGCGUCGUUUGUGGAAUACCGCAGCUUAACUGCGGGGUUGCAGGCGAUACGGGCAUAACUUGAGUGCUGUAGGGGAGACUGGAAUUCCUGGUGUAGCGGUGGAAUGCGCAGAUAUCAGGAGGAACACCGAUGGCGAAGGCAGGUCUCUGGGCAGUAACUGACGCUGAGGAGCGAAAGCAUGGGUAGCGAACAGGAUUAGAUACCCUGGUAGUCCAUGCCGUAAACGGUGGGCGCUAGGUGUGAGUCCCUUCCACGGGGUUCGUGCCGUAGCUAACGCAUUAAGCGCCCCGCCUGGGGAGUACGGCCGCAAGGCUAAAACUCAAAGGAAUUGACGGGGGCCCGCACAAGCGGCGGAGCAUGUGGAUUAAUUCGA